CUGGAGAGUGGCGCACGGGUGAGUAACGCGUGGGGACCUACCUCUUAGUGGGGGAUAACGGUUGGAAACGACCGCUAAUACCGCAUACGCCCUUCGGGGGAAAGAUUUAUCGCUAAGAGAUGGACCCGCGUUGGAUUAGAUAGUUGGUGAGGUAACGGCUCACCAAGUCAGCGAUCCAUAGCUGGUUUGAGAGGAUGAUCAGCCACACUGGGACUGAGACACGGCCCAGACUCCUACGGGAGGCAGCAGUGGGGAAUAUUGGACAAUGGGGGCAACCCUGAUCCAGCCAUGCCGCGUGAGUGAAGAAGGCCUUCGGGUUGUAAAGCUCUUUCAGAUGCGAAGAUGAUGACGGUAACAUCAGAAGAAGCCCCGGCUAAUUUCGUGCCAGCAGCCGCGGUAAUACGAAAGGGGCUAGCGUUGUUCGGAUUUACUGG
This 434-nucleotide ribosomal RNA is filed under the name marine sediment bacterium BB0608_AND_5.2_8G0. RNAcentral describes it as "bacterial SSU rRNA". It matches the Rfam family "Bacterial small subunit ribosomal RNA", at positions 88 to 557 of the family's 1533-position model. The record is from RNAcentral.